CUUAGGCAAAUCCGGGAUCACUUACGCCGAGCACCGAGACGAGUCCUAUGAGGACGAAGUGACUGACACCACGCUUCCAGGAAAAGCCACUAAGCUUCAGCUUAAGAAAAACCGUACCGCAAACCGACACAGGUAGGCAGGGUGAGAAUCCCAAGGCGCUUGAGAGAACUCGGGUGAAGGAACUAGGCAAAAUGGCACCGUAACUUCGGGAGAAGGUGCGCCCUUUGGUGUGGUCACGUGCGUGACUGAGCAUUGAAGGGUCGCAGUAACCUGGCCGCUGCGACUGUUUAUCAAAAACACAGCACUCUGCAAACACGAAAGUGGACGUAUAGGGUGUGACGCCUGCCCGGUGCUGGAAGGUUAAUUGAUGGGGUCAGCCGCAAGGCGAAGCUCUUGAUCGAAGCCCCAGUAAACGGCGGCCGUAACUAUAACGGUCCUAAGGUAGCGAAAUUCCUUGUCGGGUAAGUUCCGACCUGCACGAAUGGCGUAACGACAGCGGCGCUGUCUCCACCCGAGACUCAGUGAAAUUGAAAUCGCUGUGAAGAUGCAGCGUUCCCGCGGCAAGACGGAAAGACCCCGUGAACCUUUACUAUAGCUUUACACUGAACGUUGAGUUCUUCUGUGUAGGAUAGGUGGGAGGCUAUGAAACCAGGACGCUAGUUCUGGUGGAGCCAUCCUUGAAAUACCACCCUGAAGUGCUUGACGUUCUAACCUAGGCCCGUAAUCCGGGUCAGGGACCGUGUAUGGUGGGUAGUUUGACUGGGGCGGUCUCCUCCCAAAGAGUAACGGAGGAGCACGAAGGUACGCUCAGCGCGGUCGGACAUCGCGCACUGUGUGCAAAGGCAUAAGCGUGCUUGACUGCGAGAUCGACGGAUCAAGCAGGUACGAAAGUAGGUCUUAGUGAUCCGGUGGUUCUGUAUGGAAGGGCCAUCGCUCAACGGAUAAAAGGUACUCCGGGGAUAACAGGCUGAUACCGCCCAAGAGUUCAUAUCGACGGCGGUGUUUGGCACCUCGAUGUCGGCUCAUCACAUCCUGGGGCUGUAGCCGGUCCCAAGGGUAUGGCUGUUCGCCAUUUAUUUGGUACGCGAGCUGGGUUCAGAACGUCGUGAGACAGUUCGGUCCCUAUCUGUCGUGGGCGUUGGAGAUUUGAGGGGGGCUGCUCCUAGUACGAGAGGACCGGAGUGGACGUUCCGCUGGUGUUCGGGUUGUCAUGCCCAUGGCAUUGCCCGGUAGCUACGAACGGAAGUGAUAACCGCUGAAAGCAUCUAAGCGGGAAGCACGCCCCAAGAUGAGAUCUCCCGAGAGCUUGACUCUCCUAAAGGCACCAUCAAGACUAGGUGGUUGAUAGGUCAGGUGUGGAAGCGCAGCAAUGCGUUGAGCUAACUGAUACUAAUGAGCCGUGAGGCUUGACCA
RNAcentral lists this ribosomal RNA (1413 nucleotides) under metagenome. Its description in RNAcentral is "bacterial LSU rRNA". It matches the Rfam family "Bacterial large subunit ribosomal RNA", at positions 1531 to 2925 of the family's 2925-position model. The record is from RNAcentral.